AUUGAACGCUGGCGGCAUGCUUUACACAUGCAAGUCGAACGGACGCGCGGGCUUCGGCCUGGCGGCGCGUGGCGAACGGGUGAGUAAUACAUCGGAACGUGCCCUGCAGUGGGGGCUAGCACGGCGUAAGCCGGAUUAAUACCGCAUACGACCAGAGGGUGAAAGCGGGGGUUCUUCGGACCUCGCGCUAUUUGAGCGCACGAUGGCAGAUUAGCUAGUUGGUGGGGUAAAGGCCUACCAAGGCGACGAUCUGUAGCUGGUCUGAGAGGACGACCAGCCACACUGGGACUGAGACACGGCCCAGACUCCUACGGGAGGCAGCAGUAGGGAAUUUUGGGCAAUGGGCGAAAGCCUGAUCCAGCAAUGCCGCGUGUGUGAUGAAGGCCUUCGGGUUGUAAAGCACUUUUGGCGGGAACGAAAAGAACUGUACCAAUACCACGGUUCGAUGACGGUACCCGCAGAAUAAGCACCGGCUAACUACGUG
RNAcentral lists this ribosomal RNA (484 nucleotides) under uncultured bacterium. Its description in RNAcentral is "partial 16S ribosomal RNA". It matches the Rfam family "Bacterial small subunit ribosomal RNA", at positions 30 to 507 of the family's 1533-position model. The record is from RNAcentral.